AUUGAACGCUGGCGGAAUGCUUUACACAUGCAAGUCGAGCGGCAGCGCGGGGGCAACCCUGGCGGCGAGCGGCGAACGGGUGAGUAACACAUCGGAACGUACCCAGUUGAGGGGGGAUAGCCCGGCGAAAGCCGGAUUAAUACCGCAUAAGUCCUGAGGGAGAAAGCGGGGGACCGCAAGGCCUCGCGCGAUUGGAGCGGCCGAUGUCGGAUUAGCUAGUUGGUGGGGUAAAGGCUCACCAAGGCGACGAUCCGUAGCUGGUCUGAGAGGAUGAUCAGCCACACUGGGACUGAGACACGGCCCAGACUCCUACGGGAGGCAGCAGUGGGGAAUUUUGGACAAUGGGGGAAACCCUGAUCCAGCCAUUCCGCGUGAGUGAAGAAGGCCUUCGGUUGUAAGACUCUUUCGGUACGGAAAGGAAAUACGCCCGGGUAAACGUAAUACCGGGUGGAGUGACGGUACCGUAAGAAGAAGACACCGGCUAACGUACGUGCCAGCAGCCGCGGUAA
RNAcentral lists this ribosomal RNA (509 nucleotides) under uncultured bacterium. RNAcentral describes it as "bacterial SSU rRNA". It matches the Rfam family "Bacterial small subunit ribosomal RNA", at positions 29 to 523 of the family's 1533-position model. The record is from RNAcentral.